RNAcentral lists this ribosomal RNA (473 nucleotides) under uncultured organism. Its description in RNAcentral is "partial 16S ribosomal RNA". It matches the Rfam family "Bacterial small subunit ribosomal RNA", at positions 334 to 798 of the family's 1533-position model. The record is from RNAcentral.
CACUCCUACGGGAGGCAGCAGUGGGGAAUUUUGGACAAUGGGCGAAAGCCUGAUCCAGCAAUGCCGCGUGUGUGAAGAAGGCCUUCGGGUUGUAAAGCACUUUUGUCCGGAAAGAAAUCCUUGGCUCUAAUACAGUCGGGGGAUGACGGUACCGGAAGAAUAAGCACCGGCUAACUACGUGCCAGCAGCCGCGGUAAUACGUAGGGUGCGAGCGUUAAUCGGAAUUACUGGGCGUAAAGCGUGCGCAGGCGGUUUGCUAAGACCGAUGUGAAAUCCCCGGGCUCAACCUGGGAACUGCAUUGGUGACUGGCAGGCUAGAGUAUGGCAGAGGGGGGUAGAAUUCCACGUGUAGCAGUGAAAUGCGUAGAGAUGUGGAGGAAUACCGAUGGCGAAGGCAGCCCCCUGGGCCAAUACUGACGCUCAUGCACGAAAGCGUGGGGAGCAAACAGGAUUAGAAACCCGAGUAGUCCCAU